This 319-nucleotide ribosomal RNA is filed under the name uncultured eukaryote. Its description in RNAcentral is "partial 18S ribosomal RNA". It matches the Rfam family "Eukaryotic small subunit ribosomal RNA", at positions 1470 to 1796 of the family's 1831-position model. The record is from RNAcentral.
CCCUUAGAUGUUCUGGGCAGCACGCGCGCUACAAUGGUCUUCGCAAACGGAUGCAUUCUCGAAGGAGAAUGCCAAUCUUGGAAUCUAUGCCUUGGUCGGGACAGUUGCUUGCAAUUUUUCGACUCGAACCAGGAAUUCCUUGUAAUCGUGAUUCAUCACAUCACGAUGAAUACGUCCCUGCCCUUUGUACACACCGCCCGUCGCUCCUACCGAUCGAAGAGGUAGGUGAAUUGUUUUGAUCGAUAAGAUUUGACUAUGGUCAACUCUCGUUGUGAAAUUCUGUGAAUCUGACUGUUUAGAGGAAGGAAAAGUCGUAACA